Molecule: transfer RNA, 71 nt
Filed under: Nothobranchius vosseleri
Lineage: Eukaryota; Metazoa; Chordata; Actinopteri; Cyprinodontiformes; Nothobranchiidae
Description: tRNA-Gln
Rfam family: tRNA
About the family: Transfer RNA (tRNA) molecules are approximately 80 nucleotides in length.
Source: RNAcentral
UAGAAAAUGGUGUAAUGGAAGCACACGGGGUCUUGAUCCCUAAAGAAGAGGUUCAAGUCCUUUUUUUCUAA